GAAGGUGGCAAGCGUUGUUCGGAUUUACUGGGCGUACAGGGAGCGUAGGCGGUUCGGUAAGCCCUCUGUGAAAUCUCCAGGCUUAACCUGGAACAGUCGGAGGGGACUGCCGGGCUAGAGGACGGGAGAGGAGCGCGGAAUUCCCGGUGUAGCGGUGAAAUGCGUAGAGAUCGGGAGGAAGGCCGGUGGCGAAGGCGGCGCUCUGGAACGUUUCUGACGCUGAGGCUCGAAAGCGUGGGGAGCAAACAGGAUUAGAUACCCUGGUAGUCCACGCCUUAAACUAUGAAUACUAAGUGUCGGCGGUUUACCGCCGGUGCCGCAGCUAACGCAUUAAGUAUUCCGCCUGGGAAGUACGGCCGCAAGGUUG
Molecule: ribosomal RNA, 367 nt
Filed under: uncultured bacterium
Lineage: Bacteria
Description: bacterial SSU rRNA
Rfam family: Bacterial small subunit ribosomal RNA
Source: RNAcentral